Long non-coding RNA from Arvicola amphibius (Eurasian water vole), 1676 nucleotides. RefSeq lists it as uncharacterized. NCBI's taxonomy places the organism in Eukaryota, Metazoa, Chordata, Mammalia, Rodentia, Cricetidae. The record is from RefSeq and is a predicted model, not a curated record. The transcript is spliced from 3 exons.
AUGCACCACCACUACCCAGCAAUGUGAAUCACUUUUUUUAAAGUGUGUUGGUGUUUUGCCAUGGGUGUUGGGUCCCCUAGAACUUAAGUUACAGACAGUAGUGAACUACCAUGUUGGGAAUCAAAGUUGGGUCCUCUGGAAGAGCAAUCAGUACUCUUAACUGCUGAGCCAUCUCAAGCAUUUAAAGCACAAACAUUACAACCACAACUAUUCAACCGCCUGCAAGUUACUUAUAAUUAUAAUCCCUGGUUUCCAGAAGAAGAAACUUAGAUAAAGUAUGGGACACAGUCUAAAAUAAUAUUGAACAGAACAUGAACUAGGUGAAAGGCCUUCUUUCAGGCUUCUGUUAUUCAAUAUGGAUGAUAUCUUGUUAGUCACCUCCAAAAAGGAAGAGCUACAGUCCAUGACUCAGGACAUGCUAUGUAAAAGUAGGCUCAUCGUUACACCAGAAAGGUACAUAGAUUAGAUAUUGUGCAAUGUUUGGGACAACUGGUUACUAGAACAAAUUUUAGACCACACCAAAAAAAAAUUCCAUAAACAAGACAAUUUAAAAUAGUUAACGUUCAGAAAUUGAUAGGGGGUAUUUAAUUCGAUACAUCCUACUUUAGGAAACUAUUUAAAACUCUAGAAGGUGAGACAUUAUUACAUAUAUGUGUAUAUGUAUGUAUGUGUGUAUGUAUGUGUCCAGACUAGAAGCAGCAUUUGUGUAUUGUGAGGAUCAUUUGCUGACUAACUGGCUGUUUUUCUGCCAACUUGACAUGAGCAAAAGUCAGAGAGGAAGGAGCCUCAGUUGAAGAAAUUCCUAGGUGAGAUCCAACUAUAAGGUAUUUUCUCAUUUACUGAUCAUUGAGGGAUGGCCCAACCCAUUGUAUUUCCAUCUCUGGGCAGGUCGUCCUGGCUUCUAUAAGAAGGUGGGUUGAGCAAGCCAUUGGAAGCAAGCCAGGAUCAGUACCCACCAUGUUCUCUGCAUCAGCUCCUUUUUCUGGGAUCCUGCCUUGUUUGAGUUUAUGUCCUGACUUCCUUUUGUCAUGAACUGAAAUGUAUUACAGCACCGGAAGAUAAACCUGUGGAAUGAAAAUAUUUACACCAUAAUGGCCAGAAAAUGCUAAGUGCUUUCCUUAAUAUUCUUGCUUUUUAAUAUUUACCCCUAACAAUCGGUGUUUAAGACUAUGAUACAUUCCUAUGGAUUUUCAGAUUUUAUUUGUAGAAUACCAUGGAAGGGUGGGAAAUCAUUAUCCAGCUGACAAGAAAUUAGAUUUUCUCCUACAAACUGAAUUUGUGAUUAUAAAAAUUGUCCAACCUCCCAUUCCACAGGCAGAUGCUUAUUUUAUUGACAUCUCAUCUAAUGAUACUGGAGGGAUCACAGUCCAGAUGGUCAUCCGUUUCCUAAUACUUCCUUUUCCUAGUUCAGCAGGUGCAACUGGUGUUUCAAUUCAUCUGUUAGGGUUAAUUUAUUAACCCUUAAAUAUCAUUUCGGAUUCUGCUUAUGUAGUUGGGUUGUUCCCAGCAAUAGAACCUGCUUCAGCUUUGUCUUCACAUCCUCCUACGUUCUCAUCACUACAGGAACUACAUCAGGUUAAAAGUCUUCACACAUCUCUUGUUUAUUAUUCAUACUCAUGCACAUUUGAACCUCCCUGUUUUCAUUGCAGAAAUAAAGAAGCAAGCUUACACAUGAA